UGCAUAUCAAUAAGCGGAGGAAAAGAAACUAACAAGGAUUCCCCUAGUAACGGCGAGUGAAGCGGGAAGAGCUCAAAUUUGAAAUCUGGCAGUCUUCGAUUGUCCGAGUUGUAAUCUAUAGAGGCGUUUUCCGUGCCGGACCGUGUCCAAGUCUCCUGGAAAGGAGUAUCAAAGAGGGUGAUAAUCCCGUACUUAACACGACCACCGGUGCUCUGUGAUACGUCUUCUACGAGUCGAGUUGUUUGGGAAUGCAGCUCAAAAUGGGUGGUGAAUUCCAUCUAAAGCUAAAUAUUGGCGAGAGACCGAUAGCGAACAAGUACCGUGAGGGAAAGAUGAAAAGCACUUUGGAAAGAGAGUUAAACAGUACGUGAAAUUGUUGAAAGGGAAACGAUUGAAGUCAGUCGUGUUCUUUGGAUUCAGCCAGUUCUGCUGGUCUACUUCCUUGGAACGGGUCAACAUCAGUUUUGUCCGGUGGAUAAAGGUAGUAGGAAUGUGACUUCUCCGGAAGUGUUAUAGCCUAUUAUCACAUACACUGGGUGAGACUGAGGACUGCAGCUCGCCUUUAUGGCCGGCCUUCGGGCACGUUCGAGCUUAGGAUGUUGACAUAAUGGCUUUAAACGACCCGUCUUGAA
Molecule: ribosomal RNA, 632 nt
Filed under: Trichosporon asahii
Lineage: Eukaryota; Fungi; Basidiomycota; Tremellomycetes; Trichosporonales; Trichosporonaceae
Description: partial large subunit ribosomal RNA
Rfam family: Eukaryotic large subunit ribosomal RNA
Source: RNAcentral